This 802-nucleotide long non-coding RNA is filed under the name Gossypium barbadense (sea-island cotton). Its description in RNAcentral is "long non-coding RNA (GBAR_LNC015080)". Lineage: Eukaryota; Viridiplantae; Streptophyta; Magnoliopsida; Malvales; Malvaceae. The record is from RNAcentral.
UCAGGUCUGGCCAUGGUCCGGCUUGGGAUUUCCGACGAGUCUCCGCCGCAGAGCCACCGUGUAUGGCGGCCGGAGGUUCAAAAUCGGACCUUCUUGGUCCUUUUUUGAAGUCCAUGGCCUCCAGGCCACAGAUCCGGGGCUGAAUCUCCUGAAUUGAAAGCCGAAGACCCGAAAAAUGGGGUGAAAUCCUUCGCCUUCCUCCCCCUUCCGGCGCAGCGCAGGUAAGGUUUUUUUUAACUCCUUUUUUACUAUCUUUAUUUAUAUAUAUACAUGAAGAGAAAAGAGAGGAAAAUAAAUAAAAAAAACUUCAAAACUCAAAAGAAAGAGACCUUGAAUCUGCCUUUUUUUUAUUUUCUUUCGAUUGAAUCUGUUUUUCUUUGUUACAAAAGUUGUCAGGGAAGGAGGAGAAGAGAGUUACAUUUUGGCUUUUUUAUAGCCGAUCUUAAUUUCUAUUUUUGUUUUCUUUUUCCUUUCUUUUCUUUGGCUGUUGCGUGUUUGCAGGUGGAGCAAGUGAGGACGAUGGGACAUGCGCGGCGCAAGUGGGGUGAGUCGGUGGUGGCAGUUGCGGCGGCAAUGUCAGAAGGCCCUAGGUGCGGCGCACCUAGGGUUAGGGUUUCUUUUUUUCUGAUUUGUGUUUUGGGUAAUGGGUUUUGCAUUUGGGCUCCGGGAUUGGGUUAGGCUAGUUGGGCCUGGGUAGAUUUUGUUUUUGUUUGGGUUAUGGGUUUUAAUGGGUUAGGUCAAAAUGGGCCUGUACACUAAGUUCUUCAUUUUUUAGGUCAGAUUUAAUUUAGGUAUGGCAAAC